RNAcentral lists this transfer RNA (72 nucleotides) under Camelus bactrianus (Bactrian camel). It matches the Rfam family "tRNA". From Rfam's summary of the family: Transfer RNA (tRNA) molecules are approximately 80 nucleotides in length. RNAcentral also lists the same sequence under 2 other names. The record is from Rfam by way of RNAcentral. Lineage: Eukaryota; Metazoa; Chordata; Mammalia; Artiodactyla; Camelidae.
GAGGGUCUAGCUCAGUGGUGGAGCACAUGCUUAGCAUGCACUAGGUCCUGGGUUCAAUCCCCGGUACCUCCA